This 467-nucleotide ribosomal RNA is filed under the name uncultured bacterium. RNAcentral describes it as "bacterial SSU rRNA". It matches the Rfam family "Bacterial small subunit ribosomal RNA", at positions 329 to 795 of the family's 1533-position model. The record is from RNAcentral.
UGCCAGACUCCUACGGGAGGCAGCAGUGAGGAAUAUUGGUCAAUGGCCGGAAGGCUGAACCAGCCAAGUCGCGUGAGGGAAGAAUGUCCUAAGGAUUGUAAACCUCUUUUGUCGGGGAGCAAAAAGGCUCUGCGGAGUCGUAUUGAGAGUACCCGAAGAAAAAGCAUCGGCUAACUCCGUGCCAGCAGCCGCGGUAAUACGGAGGAUGCGAGCGUUAUCCGGAUUUAUUGGGUUUAAAGGGUGCGUAGGCGGAAGGUUAAGUCAGCGGUCAAAUGUCGGUGCUCAACACCGGCCUGCCGUUGAAACUGGUCUUCUUGAGUGAGCGAGAAGUAUGCGGAAUGCGCGGUGUAGCGGUGAAAUGCAUAGAUAUCACGCAGAACUCCGAUUGCGAAGGCAGCAUACCGGCGCUCAACUGACGCUGAGGCACGAAAGCGUGGGGAUCGAACAGGAUUAGAUACCCCAGUAAC